RNAcentral lists this non-coding RNA (88 nucleotides) under Pyramidobacter piscolens. RNAcentral's name for it is "SAM riboswitch (S box leader)". It matches the Rfam family "SAM riboswitch aptamer (S box leader)", at positions 2 to 90 of the family's 108-position model. From Rfam's summary of the family: The SAM riboswitch is found upstream of a number of genes which code for proteins involved in methionine or cysteine biosynthesis in Gram-positive bacteria. The SAM riboswitch acts at the level of transcription termination control. The predicted structure consists of a complex stem-loop region followed by a single stem loop terminator region. The record is from RNAcentral. Lineage: Bacteria; Thermotogati; Synergistota; Synergistia; Synergistales; Dethiosulfovibrionaceae.
UCUUAUCGCGAGUGGCUGAGGGACUGGCCCGAUGACGCCCGGCAACCUGCCCGUAAGGGAGUGUGGUGCCAAAACCAGAGACCGGCUU